CCCUCUCCUUGUUCCUCAAAUCCCCACCAUCAUCGCCGCCGGAGAGGGAGAGCAGAGACGGCGCCGACGAUGGCCGCCGGCACCGGAUCCCUAGCAGCUCUGUUGCUUCUCUUGUCCCUCUCCCACCAGGUGAUUGGGGUGAUCAACACAGAGGAUCGGAUCCUUCAGGAUUCGGUUGUUGAUGCUGUCAACGGAAACCCUGCGGCGGGAUGGCGGGCUGUGAAGAAUCCCCGGUUCACGAACUACACCGUUGGUCAAUUCAAACGUAUUCUUGGGGUGAAACCUCUUCCAGCCAAUGAUUUGGAGCAAGAUGAAAUACCAGUAAAAACUCAUUCUAAAUCUUUGAAGCUACCGAAGGAGUUUGAUGCAAGGACUAACUGGCCUCAAUGUAUCAAUAUUGGAAACAUACUUGACCAGGGUCAUUGUGGUUCUUGUUGGGCCUUUGGUGCAGUAGAAGCACUACAAGAUCGGUUCUGCAUUCAUUUUGGCAUGAACAUUUCCCUAUCGGUUAAUGAUCUUUUAUCAUGCUGUGGCUUUCUGUGUGGGAGUGGGUGUGAUGGAGGUUAUCCUAUACGUGCGUGGAGGUAUCUUGCCCAUAGUGGUGUAGUUACCGAGGAGUGUGAUCCUUACUUCGACAACACUGGUUGCUCUCAUCCAGGCUGUGAACCUGGUUUUCCAACACCGAGAUGUGUGAGACACUGUAAAGAUAAAAAUCGGGUUUGGAGGACGGAUAAACAUUACAGUGUAAAAGCUUACAGAGUGAAGUCUACCCCUAAUGAUAUCAUGGCAGAGGUUUACAAAAAUGGUCCCGUGGAAGUUGCGUUCACUGUUUAUGAGGAUUUUGCUCACUACAAGUCAGGAGUUUACAAGCACGUAACAGGGGAGUAUAUCGGAGGCCAUGCUGUUAAGCUCAUCGGAUGGGGAACUAGUGAGGAAGGAGAGGACUAUUGGCUUCUUGUGAAUUCUUGGAACAAAGGCUGGGGCAAUGAUGGGUACUUCAAGAUCAGAAGAGGAACAAAUGAGUGUGACAUUGAAUCUAAUGUAGUUGCAGGAUUGCCUUCAGCUAGAAAUCUAAAUGUGGAACUUGAUGAUGAUUUCCUUGAUACAUCAAUGUAAAAUGUCACUUCAUCAACAAGACUAAAUAAUACUACUACCAAAGUCUAUGCAGUUUAUGGAGUCGUUUGGUAGUAUACAUAAGAAUUAUAUUGAAUAUGAUGUAUUAAUAUUAGUUAUGAUUGUAUUGGUUAUGAUUUUAUCAUUAUUUCUAUACAACAAUACCAUCCACAAACAUGGUAUAAAUGACAUGGAAA
Molecule: unclassified non-coding RNA, 1310 nt
Filed under: Hevea brasiliensis (rubber tree)
Lineage: Eukaryota; Viridiplantae; Streptophyta; Magnoliopsida; Malpighiales; Euphorbiaceae
Source: RNAcentral